UUUCCCAGUUUUACCCAUGUUGAGCAUAGUAACUCCGCCUUAAAUUGGUUGGCCCAGUUUAAUUGCAUUAUGUCUUGCAAGGAGUAUUAGCAUGCAGAUUUUACUGCAUAGUGACUAUUGUUCGAUGGUAAACUAGUGAAAAGGGGAGAAUACAUUUCCAUGGUUUCUGACUUUGUUCUAUCCCACUUAUUUGGUUUCAGCCAUUAGAGAUUGC
Molecule: long non-coding RNA, 214 nt
Filed under: Glycine max (soybean)
Lineage: Eukaryota; Viridiplantae; Streptophyta; Magnoliopsida; Fabales; Fabaceae
Description: long non-coding RNA (GMAX_LNC004446)
Source: RNAcentral